RNAcentral lists this ribosomal RNA (253 nucleotides) under uncultured bacterium. RNAcentral's name for it is "partial 16S ribosomal RNA". It matches the Rfam family "Bacterial small subunit ribosomal RNA", at positions 524 to 776 of the family's 1533-position model. The record is from RNAcentral.
UACGUAGGUGGCAAGCGUUAUCCGGAAUUAUUGGGCGUAAAGAGCGCGCAGGUGGUUAAUUAAGUCUGAUGUGAAAGCCCACGGCUUAACCGUGGAGGGUCAUUGGAAACUGGUUGACUUGAGUGCAGAAGAGGGAAGUGGAAUUCCAUGUGUAGCGGCGAAAUGCGUAGAGAUAUGGAGGAACACCAGUGGCGAAGGCGGCUUCCUGGUCUGUAACUGACACUGAGGCGCGAAAGCGUGGGGAGCAAACAGG